Molecule: long non-coding RNA, 6547 nt
Organism: Bicyclus anynana (squinting bush brown)
Lineage: Eukaryota; Metazoa; Arthropoda; Insecta; Lepidoptera; Nymphalidae
Exons: 7
Source: RefSeq, a predicted model, not a curated record
AAUGCACACUGCUCCAAUGUGGGUUGAUAGGCUUGGGGUAAUAAAGUUAAAUUAUAAAAGGAUCACUAUCAGGUGUUAAUGAUAAUGACUGGGAUAUAUUGCAUAUCAUACUCUCUGAGAUAUAGGGAUAUAACACCAGCAACAGCUCUCCAGUGAUGCAGUAGAUAGCAUCAUUGCUCUUUGCAUCUACACGCCACAGCCAGUUGUGGCAAUUGAACUCAUCAUAUUAGUGUGAUGAGCAUGGAUGUAUUUCAGUGUCUAUGUGGUUGUGAGUGUACGCCCAUGUUAAAUAACAAGUAAUGGCCAAAAUAUUAAGUAGAUGUUGAUCAAUAAUCUUCUCUAUCUUCCAGUAAAAGUCCCAUUAAAAUGACCCUGCUGUUCCAGAGAUUAGCUCAAACAAACAGACAGAUGAACAUUUUAAAGAAGUAUGACUGUAUGUCAGUAUUGUAUAUAGGCACUUGAGAAAACACAGUUAUUUUGAAAUCACAGACAUACACUUAAAUUUUAUUUAUAUGUAUUGGUGCUGUUCAUAAAUAUAGCAUCAGCUGAAACAAACUAGGCAUAGUUAAGUUACAUUUUAUACAGGGUGCUCGGGACUAUUUCUCAUAAAUUCAAGGUGUUGACAAGUCCACUUAUAGGAGUUACCUUAGCUACUAGUUUAUAUUGAGGAGAACUUUCCACCUAGAUGAGUUGUGACUGUAUUAGGGGUCUGGUGAUGAAGACGUAGGACGGUUAAGAGAACUCCUCAACGGUUCACAGUAGCUACCAUGUGUUGAUAAAUUUGUAUUGAUGAGAACUUUCCAACUAGAUGGGUUGUGACUGUAUUAGGGGUCUGGUAAUGAAGACGAAGGACGGUUAAGGGAACUCCUCGAUUGUUGUUCACAGUAGCUACCAUGUGUUGAUAAAUUUGUAUUGAUGAGAACUUUCCACCUAGAUGGGUUUUGACUGUAUUAGGGGUCUGGUAAUGAAGACGAAGGACGGUUAAGGGAACUUCUCGAUGGUUCACAGUAGUAAUUAGUUUGAUUCUAAGUCAGAGGCAAUCAAAUACAAUGUUUUAUCACGACUCAUAGCAACAUACCUUUGGCGCUAGAUCAAUAUCUAGGAUGAUUUCACUAAAAAUGGAAAAAUAAAAAUUUUUAAUUAAAGAAAUUCAACCAACUUCAAAAACAUAAAACAUACUGGCUAAACUAAAAAGCGAAAAAUAAUAUUAUACUAAGUUCAUAUCAUAUUAUGUUCUAACUGAUGAUCAGUUUGAAGGCUGUGCUAAACCGGUGUUGUUUUAAUUUAAGCUGUUACUGAAAGAACUACAUGAAAGAACACUGUCUGAAAAACCUAAAUAUUUAUGAUAUUCUUACAUGGCUUGAAUUAAUACAUCAUUGGGCUAGCACCACCUUCAAACUGAUCAUCAGUUAGAACAUAAUAUGAUAUAUAGAACUUAGUAUAAUGUUAUUUUUCGUUUUUUAGUUUAGUAAGUAUGUUUUUGAAGUCGGUUGACUUGUUUUUAUUAAAGUUUUUUAAUACACAUGUUCCUUAGACAUUUUAAAUUAAUUUUCCUUAUAGAACUUGGAGCUACCCUAGAGUUAUGGGAAAUACUCCCGAGCACCCUGUAGAUGCUACUUAAUCCUACUAAUCCUUCAUUCAUCAAUAUCGGUUGGUGGGCUUGGAGUUUAUAAAGAAUAUUAAGUAUAUAUAAUUUAUUUAUGAACAUUCCUCAUUCAGUUGAGCUUUUACUACCCAUAACACAAGCUAAGCUUACUUUGAGACUAGUUAGUGAUGUGUGUAAUGUGUUAAUAUAAAUAUUAACCAACUUUCUGCAGUUUGAGAAUACGCGGAUAAAAUAUAGCCUAUGAUACUCAGAAAUAACGUGGCUUUCUAGUGGUAAAAGAAUUUUCAAAAUUGGAUCCAGAGUUUACCUGCUAGAACACCACCAACUUUACCUCUUUAUAAUACAUACCAGCGGACGCCCGCGACUUCGUCCGCGUAAAAAUCGAUGUCAACUUUCAACCCCUAUUUCACAUUCUAUUUUGCAAGUUUUAUAACUUAUACCUUGUAACUAAAAAAAUUAAGGACUUUCCGUACAAACUUUCUACCCCUACUUCACCCAAUUCUGAUUUUGUUUUCACGACAAAAAGUAUCCUAUUAUCCUUCUACUUAUUAUGGUCUCAAAUCGUCUUAAGUAUCGUUUGAAUUCAUUCUGUAGUAUCAGCGUGAUGCCCGGUCAAAAAAAGGCAAACAGACAGACAAAAAAUAGAAAAUAUGAGCGUGGUGCGAUGACAAAGGAAAAUAGAGACUUCUAUGCUAAAAUUAUAAUCUUUGGAUCUACUGGACCGAUUUGAAAGAUUGUUUUAUCAAUAGAAAGCUACGUUAUUUGCGAGUGUCAUAGGCUAUGUUUGAUUCCCAUAUUCACACAGGAACGGGAACCACGUAAUGGAAAGCGCGGGGCGUCAUGUAGCGAACUUUCUGCGUCUUUGAGAAAUUUUGUAUUAUCUCCAAAACUAAUUAACAUACUAUAAAGGGCAAAUCUUAUCUCCAUAAUAUCCUUGUGAUUAUUAAAUAAUUUAUUUUAAUAAGGAUUAAAGUUUAGUUGUAUAAAUAAUGACGUAAUACUAAGUAUAUACAAUUAAUAAUUUUUAAAACACAAAAGGUACUAUAUCUGCUAAUAUAUAGAAGAUAGAUAUAUGGUGUCGCGGACUUUUUUGUAGAACUUUUAAAGAUACAUAAAGCCUCCAUACAUUAAUUUCAAUUUUACACAAUGGUUAAGGCAGCGCAUGCGAAUAAGUCUGCUUAAGAGGAUUUUCGGUCCGACCUGUAUGACAAAAACUGUGUUAACUCGGCGAAUAUAUAUCAUGCUAAUAUAAAAUAUAGCCUAUAGCACUCCCCGAUAAUGUAGCAUUCUACUGGUGAAAGAAUUUUUGAAAUCUGACCAGUAGUUCCGAAAAUUACCCCAUUUAAAAAAUGUGACAAACUUACAAACUUUACCUCUUUAUAAUAUUAGUAUAGAUUAACAACCCAUUUUCGGCUCAUUGUUGAGCACGAGUCACUUCUCAGGACGAGAGGGGUUAGGCCUUAGUCCUCCAUGCUGGCCCAAUGCGGAUUGGCAGACUUCACACACCUAGACAAUUAAGAAAAUUCUCAGUUAUGCAGGUUUCUUCACAAUGUUAUGCUUCACCAUUUAAGACAUUUAAUUUAAAAAUGGGUUGAAUACAUAUCAGUAUAGAUUUUUAUUGUGAGUUUCUUGAAAGAAGGAAAUGCUCAAUAUUUCAUAGACCAACCCAGGACUCAAACUCAGAAUUUCAUGAUAGUUACACUGAACCAAUAAAGCAGUUAGAGAGAGAGAGAGAGAUAAAUAAAAAGAGUUUAUUAUGUAUUAAAAUUAAAAUAUAUACCUAAUGCUUUCAGCAAUCCUGCUUCUUCACAUGAAUUUUACCCGCAUGACGACGGUUUUUAAUAUAAAAAAUAUUUACACAAUGUCUCAAAAAGCAAUCAAAGCUUUCAAAAAUAAACAAUGUUCGCAGAAGUUCAGUACCAACAAACUCACAAAAAAUGAGCCCAAAAUUUAGCAUUACUUGCAAGCCAGACUAAGAAAUUUCAAGAAGAUAAUUUAAAAGAAGACAAUAGAAUAAAAUAAUAUUAACACACAAUGCUUAGCAAAUAUAGCAUUAACAGAUGGAAACCAGGCAAUAGGUGUAGCAAAAUAGAAGAUGAAGGUCUAGCUGUGCCAGUCAGUGCUGAGCCACACAGUUGCUGCUGGCAUGUUUGCAAAAUAGCACAAGGUGUAGCAAAAUAGAAGAUGAAGGUCUAGCUGUGCCAGUCGGUGCUGAGCCACACAGUUGCUGCUGGCAUGUUUGCAAAAUAGCACAAGGUGUAGCAAAAUAGAAGAUGAAGGUCUAGCUGUGCCAGUCGGUGCUGAGCCACACAGUUGCUGCUGGCAUGUUUGCAAAAUAGCACAAGGUGUAGCAAAAUAGAAGAUGAAGGUCUAGCUGUGCCAGUCAGUGCUGAGCCACACAGUUGCUGCUGGCAUGUUUGCAAAAUAGCACAAGGUGCUGUAAAAUGAAGAUAUAUUGUUAAAUAUCAUGAGAUAGAAAUAAAAGAUGAAGAUCUAGCUGUACCCGUCCCGAGCCACACUACUGCAGCCACGUUGCUGCUGGCAUUUUUGCAAAAUAGCACAAGGUCACAACAAUUGAUGUAACAAAUAUAAUCAAUGGACCAGGCACCUGCACCGUGAUUCUUUGGAAUACUAAAAUUCGUCUCUUUAUGUCUGUACUUCUCAUAAUGAAAAAUGUCACGUUUUUAUGAAAGAAAUAAUGGAAUCAAAUAAUAAAUAAAACAAGCAUAUGCUGGAAGUCCUCAGAAACAGCUCCGACUUUGAUGAUUUUUUUUAAAGUCAUGUUUUUUAUGUUAUUUAAAAUCAGAAAUGUUUUGGUGGACGAAAUUAUUUAAAUUGUUAAAAAAUAUCUAUGCUAUUUAUACAUAUUUUUUUUUUAAAUACAACCGACUUCAAAAAUACAAACUUAUGCAGAAAACUAACAAACGAAAGAAAAUAUUAUAAUAUUUUCUAUCUAUUGAUCACUUUGAAGGCGGUGCCAAUGUUCCAAUUAAUGGGCCGACAAUUAGUAAUCUAUUGUUUACUAGCUAUAGGGCUCGAAUUGCUUUUUCAUAUCUUUAAAAGACUAUCUUCGGAAUGAACCCUUUAUAAUAAAAAGUAUUAUCAAAAUCGGACCACUCAAUAAAAAGUUAUACUUGGUUGUAUACUAAAAUUAAUGGUUAAACAAUCAAUCAUCCCCUGUUUUCGUAAUGUAAAACCAAGAAUAACUGUUAACAUGAGUAGUCCGAUUUUGAUAAUUCUUUUGAUUGAUCAUUCUUGAUUGUUUUAGUUUAAAACCAAGCAUGUCUUCGAAUUCCGAUUUGAAUAACUUUGUUUUAAAUAGAAAGGGUAUAUUCCGACAAUGGUCCCAAAUCAUUAUAAAUUUAAAAAAAACGAAGAUGACUGGUUAUUUUCCCAUUAAUUGUGUUGUAAAACUAUGCGUAACUUAUUACGAAGUGGUCCGAUUUCGUAAAUUAUUUAUAGAUUGUAAAGGUAUUUUGAUUGUAAAGCUCCCAUAUAAAUUUUAAAAAACAAUUCCAAUCCUAAAUGUGCGAUUGAUUGUUUUCUCAUUCAUUUUAAUGUAAAACCAAGCAUAACUUUUUAUUGGGUGGUUCUAUUUUGAUUAUUCUUUUUUUGAUAGAAAGGGUAUAUUCCUAAAAGUCUCAUAAAAUGUUGGAAAACAAUUUCAAACCUAAUAGUAGGAAAAUAGAAGAUGAUUAAUUGUUUUUCCAUUUAUUGUAAUGCGUAACUUUUUACUGAGUGGACCUAUUUUGAAAAUUCUUUACUUUUUGUAAAGGGUUUAUUUCGAAGUAGGUCCCAUAUAAAUUUCGGAAAACAAUUCGAAUCCUUAAGGUGGAAAAAAACUGUACGAUUGAUUGCCUACCCAUUAAUUGUACAAUUGGCACCGGCUUCAAAGUAAUCAGUAGAUAUAAAAUAUUAUAAUGUUUUCUUCAGCUUAUUAGUUUACUGCAUAACUUUGUGUUUUUGAAGUCGGUAGUGUUUGUUUUUUAAUUAUUUAUUAUAUAAAUAGCAUAACUAUUGUUAAAUAGUAUAAAUCGUUCCAUCCUCACUCCUAAAGGUUUCUGAUUUCAAAUAAUAUGAAGAAACAAACUGAACAAAAAAAAUCAUCAAAAUCAGAGCUGUUCCUGAGGAAGUAGAGGGUAAAUGCUCUAUUGAUUCGCCUAAAAGUAAUAUUAUGAUUUUUUAUCGCAUUAGGUUGUAAAGUUCGGCUAGUGAAAGUAGAGACUGAAAUUGCCCGCCAAAUUUAAAAAUCAUAUAAACAAAGUAAAAAAACAUGCGUUUUCAUAAUUUACUUAAAUUAGUUUUUAUUUGUGAAUACAUUAUUACCUAUACUAUAAGUGUUAAACUCAGUUAUUCCAAUAUUUGCACUAUAAUUUUGAGAAUUUACUCCGAUUUUUUAAAAUUUGGCGGGUGAUUUCAGUUUCUACUUUUAUUAGCCAAAUUCUAAUAAUUAAAAAUUUUAUUGUUUAUGAAAUUUAUACUAAUUAGAAAGAGGAAGAAUUUGAUUAUUUGUUUGUUUGCAUUGAAUAGGCUCUGAAACUACUUUGCUGAUUUAAAAAUUUCUUACAGCAUUAUAAUCAUGGAUUAGGCCAUAAUUGUUAUCUCUGUAUUCCCACGGGAACGAGAACUACGCUGGUGAAACUGCGUGACGUUUGCAUAGUUUAUCAUAUGUACAAAUAUCCCGACAAUCUAUAUUUUUAUGUAUGAAUUGGUUAAGUUAUAAUUGACUUGAUUUUCCCAAAUAUAUCAGUGAAGUCACCCAAUUGAUGCAUAGAUAUAUUUUUAUUUUGGUUUUCAUUUUACUUACUUACUAAAAUUUAGUUUUAGAAGCAAAAUGAAUAUAUGUAGAUUACAUUUUAGGUGCUGAUGUUUACUUAGUUAUUGAUUAAGUGCAUAAGAUUUUUUAUUUGAUAAUAAAGACAUUUCAACUUGAAACUGUUA